Molecule: ribosomal RNA, 2803 nt
Filed under: Escherichia coli
Lineage: Bacteria; Pseudomonadati; Pseudomonadota; Gammaproteobacteria; Enterobacterales; Enterobacteriaceae
Description: partial 23S ribosomal RNA
Rfam family: Bacterial large subunit ribosomal RNA
Source: RNAcentral
GGGUUGUGAGGUUAAGCGACUAAGCGUACACGGUGGAUGCCCUGGCAGUCAGAGGCGAUGAAGGACGUGCUAAUCUGCGAUAAGCGUCGGUAAGGUGAUAUGAACCGUUAUAACCGGCGAUUUCCGAAUGGGGAAACCCAGUGUGUUUCGACACACUAUCAUUAACUGAAUCCAUAGGUUAAUGAGGCGAACCGGGGGAACUGAAACAUCUAAGUACCCCGAGGAAAAGAAAUCAACCGAGAUUCCCCCAGUAGCGGCGAGCGAACGGGGAGCAGCCCAGAGCCUGAAUCAGUGUGUGUGUUAGUGGAAGCGUCUGGAAAGGCGCGCGAUACAGGGUGACAGCCCCGUACACAAAAAUGCACAUGCUGUGAGCUCGAUGAGUAGGGCGGGACACGUGGUAUCCUGUCUGAAUAUGGGGGGACCAUCCUCCAAGGCUAAAUACUCCUGACUGACCGAUAGUGAACCAGUACCGUGAGGGAAAGGCGAAAAGAACCCCGGCGAGGGGAGUGAAAAAGAACCUGAAACCGUGUACGUACAAGCAGUGGGAGCACGCUUAGGCGUGUGACUGCGUACCUUUUGUAUAAUGGGUCAGCGACUUAUAUUCUGUAGCAAGGUUAACCGAAUAGGGGAGCCGAAGGGAAACCGAGUCUUAACUGGGCGUUAAGUUGCAGGGUAUAGACCCGAAACCCGGUGAUCUAGCCAUGGGCAGGUUGAAGGUUGGGUAACACUAACUGGAGGACCGAACCGACUAAUGUUGAAAAAUUAGCGGAUGACUUGUGGCUGGGGGUGAAAGGCCAAUCAAACCGGGAGAUAGCUGGUUCUCCCCGAAAGCUAUUUAGGUAGCGCCUCGUGAAUUCAUCUCCGGGGGUAGAGCACUGUUUCGGCAAGGGGGUCAUCCCGACUUACCAACCCGAUGCAAACUGCGAAUACCGGAGAAUGUUAUCACGGGAGACACACGGCGGGUGCUAACGUCCGUCGUGAAGAGGGAAACAACCCAGACCGCCAGCUAAGGUCCCAAAGUCAUGGUUAAGUGGGAAACGAUGUGGGAAGGCCCAGACAGCCAGGAUGUUGGCUUAGAAGCAGCCAUCAUUUAAAGAAAGCGUAAUAGCUCACUGGUCGAGUCGGCCUGCGCGGAAGAUGUAACGGGGCUAAACCAUGCACCGAAGCUGCGGCAGCGACACUAUGUGUUGUUGGGUAGGGGAGCGUUCUGUAAGCCUGUGAAGGUGUGCUGUGAGGCAUGCUGGAGGUAUCAGAAGUGCGAAUGCUGACAUAAGUAACGAUAAAGCGGGUGAAAAGCCCGCUCGCCGGAAGACCAAGGGUUCCUGUCCAACGUUAAUCGGGGCAGGGUGAGUCGACCCCUAAGGCGAGGCCGAAAGGCGUAGUCGAUGGGAAACAGGUUAAUAUUCCUGUACUUGGUGUUACUGCGAAGGGGGGACGGAGAAGGCUAUGUUGGCCGGGCGACGGUUGUCCCGGUUUAAGCGUGUAGGCUGGUUUUCCAGGCAAAUCCGGAAAAUCAAGGCUGAGGCGUGAUGACGAGGCACUACGGUGCUGAAGCAACAAAUGCCCUGCUUCCAGGAAAAGCCUCUAAGCAUCAGGUAACAUCAAAUCGUACCCCAAACCGACACAGGUGGUCAGGUAGAGAAUACCAAGGCGCUUGAGAGAACUCGGGUGAAGGAACUAGGCAAAAUGGUGCCGUAACUUCGGGAGAAGGCACGCUGAUAUGUAGGUGAAGUCCCUUGCGGAUGGAGCUGAAAUCAGUCGAAGAUACCAGCUGGCUGCAACUGUUUAUUAAAAACACAGCACUGUGCAAACACGAAAGUGGACGUAUACGGUGUGACGCCUGCCCGGUGCCGGAAGGUUAAUUGAUGGGGUCAGCCGCAAGGCGAAGCUCUUGAUCGAAGCCCCGGUAAACGGCGGCCGUAACUAUAACGGUCCUAAGGUAGCGAAAUUCCUUGUCGGGUAAGUUCCGACCUGCACGAAUGGCGUAAUGAUGGCCAGGCUGUCUCCACCCGAGACUCAGUGAAAUUGAACUCGCUGUGAAGAUGCAGUGUACCCGCGGCAAGACGGAAAGACCCCGUGAACCUUUACUAUAGCUUGACACUGAACAUUGAGCCUUGAUGUGUAGGAUAGGUGGGAGGCUUUGAAGUGUGGACGCCAGUCUGCAUGGAGCCGACCUUGAAAUACCACCCUUUAAUGUUUGAUGUUCUAACGUGGACCCGUGAUCCGGGUUGCGGACAGUGUCUGGUGGGUAGUUUGACUGGGGCGGUCUCCUCCUAAAGAGUAACGGAGGAGCACGAAGGUUGGCUAAUCCUGGUCGGACAUCAGGAGGUUAGUGCAAUGGCAUAAGCCAGCUUGACUGCGAGCGUGACGGCGCGAGCAGGUGCGAAAGCAGGUCAUAGUGAUCCGGUGGUUCUGAAUGGAAGGGCCAUCGCUCAACGGAUAAAAGGUACUCCGGGGAUAACAGGCUGAUACCGCCCAAGAGUUCAUAUCGACGGCGGUGUUUGGCACCUCGAUGUCGGCUCAUCACAUCCUGGGGCUGAAGUAGGUCCCAAGGGUAUGGCUGUUCGCCAUUUAAAGUGGUACGCGAGCUGGGUUUAGAACGUCGUGAGACAGUUCGGUCCCUAUCUGCCGUGGGCGCUGGAGAACUGAGGGGGGCUGCUCCUAGUACGAGAGGACCGGAGUGGACGCAUCACUGGUGUUCGGGUUGUCAUGCCAAUGGCACUGCCCGGUAGCUAAAUGCGGAAGAGAUAAGUGCUGAAAGCAUCUAAGCACGAAACUUGCCCCGAGAUGAGUUCUCCCUGAC